This 701-nucleotide ribosomal RNA is filed under the name Escherichia coli. RNAcentral describes it as "partial 23S ribosomal RNA". It matches the Rfam family "Bacterial large subunit ribosomal RNA", at positions 2230 to 2925 of the family's 2925-position model. The record is from RNAcentral. Lineage: Bacteria; Pseudomonadati; Pseudomonadota; Gammaproteobacteria; Enterobacterales; Enterobacteriaceae.
GACCCGUAAUCCGGGUUGCGGACAGUGUCUGGUGGGUAGUUUGACUGGGGCGGUCUCCUCCUAAAGAGUAACGGAGGAGCACGAAGGUUGGCUAAUCCUGGUCGGACAUCAGGAGGUUAGUGCAAUGGCAUAAGCCAGCUUGACUGCGAGCGUGACGGCGCGAGCAGGUGCGAAAGCAGGUCAUAGUGAUCCGGUGGUUCUGAAUGGAAGGGCCAUCGCUCAACGGAUAAAAGGUACUCCGGGGAUAACAGGCUGAUACCGCCCAAGAGUUCAUAUCGACGGCGGUGUUUGGCACCUCGAUGUCGGCUCAUCACAUCCUGGGGCUGAAGUAGGUCCCAAGGGUAUGGCUGUUCGCCAUUUAAAGUGGUACGCGAGCUGGGUUUAGAACGUCGUGAGACAGUUCGGUCCCUAUCUGCCGUGGGCGCUGGAGAACUGAGGGGGGCUGCUCCUAGUACGAGAGGACCGGAGUGGACGCAUCACUGGUGUUCGGGUUGUCAUGCCAAUGGCACUGCCCGGUAGCUAAAUGCGGAAGAGAUAAGUGCUGAAAGCAUCUAAGCACGAAACUUGCCCCGAGAUGAGUUCUCCCUGACUCCUUGAGAGUCCUGAAGGAACGUUGAAGACGACGACGUUGAUAGGCCGGGUGUGUAAGCGCAGCGAUGCGUUGAGCUAACCGGUACUAAUGAACCGUGAGGCUUAACCUU